AGUGAACGCUGGCGGUAGGCCUAACACAUGCAAGUCGAAUGGCAGCACAGUAAGAGCUUGCUCUUACGGGUGGCGAGUGGCGGACGGGUGAGGAAUACAUCGGAAUCUACUUUUUCGUGGGGGAUAACGUAGGGAAACUUACGCUAAUACCGCAUACGACCUACGGGUGAAAGCAGGGGAUCUUCGGACCUUGCGCGAUUGAAUGAGCCGAUGUCGGAUUAGCUAGUUGGCGGGGUAAAGGCCCACCAAGGCGACGAUCCGUAGCUGGUCUGAGAGGAUGAUCAGCCACACUGGAACUGAGACACGGUCCAGACGCCUACGGGAGGCAGCAGUGGGGAAUAUUGGACAAUGGGCGCAAGCCUGAUCCAGCCAUACCGCGUGGGUGAAGAAGGCCUUCGGGUUGUAAAGCCCUUUUGUUGGGAAAGAAAAGCAGCAGGUUAAUACCCCGCUGUUCUGACGGUACCCAAAGAAUAAGCACCGGCUAACUUCGUG
RNAcentral lists this ribosomal RNA (492 nucleotides) under uncultured bacterium. RNAcentral's name for it is "partial 16S ribosomal RNA". It matches the Rfam family "Bacterial small subunit ribosomal RNA", at positions 29 to 507 of the family's 1533-position model. The record is from RNAcentral.